GACGAAGGGGGCUAGCGUUGUUCGGAAUUACUGGGCGUAAAGCGCGUGUAGCCGGUUGCCCAAGUCGGGUGUGAAAGCCUUGAGCUCAACUCAAGAAAUGCACUCGGUACUGGGUGACUAGAGGACCGGAGAGGAUAGUGGAAUUCCCAGUGUAGUGGUGAAAUACGUAGAGAUUGGGAAGAACACCAGUGGCGAAGGCGGCUAUCUGGACGGUUUCUGACGCUAAGACGCGAAAGCGUGGGGAGCAAACAGG
Molecule: ribosomal RNA, 253 nt
Filed under: uncultured bacterium
Lineage: Bacteria
Description: partial 16S ribosomal RNA
Rfam family: Bacterial small subunit ribosomal RNA
Source: RNAcentral